UCUCCUCACAGGAGCAGCCCCCCUGCCUCCUCCUUCACACCCAAGCCCAGAGCCUCAGGGGCGGGGCGGGAGGAGGAGCCUGGCUCCUAGGAGGGUGGGCUCACCAGAGCUCCUCACUGUGCUGCAGGAGUCACGUGAAGCAGGCAGCCUAUGGCGGCGUGGGGGGCUUGCUUGCCGCAGAAGGCUGAGCACUGGCAGGGAACCGGGCAAAGGCUCCGGCACAAGCCCCGCUGGCGCUCCUGCUCCCGCUCCCGCUCCCGGUGCCCGCGCCAGCGGCGAUGGCGGCACUUCUGGGGCCCAGCGCCCUGGCUCAGCUCCGCUGGGGCUCGGCCUUCUGGUCCAUCGCGGCCGGAGGCUUGGGCGCCUUCGCGGCCGCCUUUGCCAAGCUGGCCCUGAAGCCGACCGACGUUGUGGGGCCCGGAGGAAAAGGAGCAGGAGCUCCCUUACCCGCCCGCCACGCAGGCCUGGGCCUUCCUGGGUUACCUGUUGUAUGGAGAAUACUGUGCAGUGAUGUGGUGGGCCAGGGUCAUCAUGAUCUUCUGUGGACUGGCACUGAUGCACACAAGCUUGUCCGCCAAGGAGGAGCUCAAGGAAAAGAAGAACCAGUAGGGGCAGACCUGAGGGCAAAGGUUCCUCGUGCUGUUGUUGGCCCUUCAGAAUCCCAAGCCUCGAGAAGGCCACUGAGUUCUGGGGGAGCAGUUUUGUCCUGUUGCUGCUGUUUUGUUUUUUUUAAAUUCCUAUCUAGGGAAGAAACCAAUGCUAGACACCAUCUGAUUGAUUCGUGCUUUAAGGAUCUCUUCAGGCAGGGCGUGCUCGUGUCACUAGGCCUCUGGCAAGUGGAUUUGUGCUUCUGACUCAGCUGAGAAACUCUGCUAGAUGUCUAGAAAUCCCAGGGAGAAAGAAAGCAGUGUUCUGGCUGGAGCUGAUGUUCAGAUCGAUCUGCUCCUUGGGCCCAAGGGACAGAUGCCAGGAAGAGGCUUUGCCUCUGGUGAGUGUUUCUCUUUGCGGUAUUACCUAGACAGAAUGGAGAAGGCUGACGUUGGGAUUGACCCUAGGCCUGAGUCUUUCUUGCUCUCUCUGUGGAGCUCCAGUGAUGCCAGUAGUAUGUUUAUCACAAACCAUAAAUCUUAAUUUAAUGAGGAUUUACAUUUAAGGUCUGUUGGUACUGAUUUGUGCCAUUAACAAUUACUAAGCACCUAGGCUAGACAAGGCCCAGGACACCAAACUAGCGAGACAAUGCCAUUCCCUGCCCUCGAGGGAUAUGCGUUGUGUUUGAGAGGGGACAAAGAAGAAAGUGAUAAAAGCUACCACCCCCAAAAAAGGAAAAAAGGGAGGGAAGGGUUCAAAGCAAAGGAAAAACCUAAGACCAGAGUUUCUUAAUUUUUUGGGGGACAUGGGCCCUUUUGGCAGGCUGGUGAAAUGGAACCCUUCUCAGAAUAAGAUUUUUAAAAUAAUCAAUCAAAAUACAUAGGACUACCAAGGAAACGCAAUUGGAAUGCAGUUAUAAAAAACAAGCAAACAAACAAAUACAUGGAUACCCAGUUUAAGAACCCUUAAUUUAAGACAAUGUGCCAUAAGGAAUUUAAGGAGGGUGCCCAGGUUAAGACCCGCUGGUCUAAGACUAUGUGCCAUAAGAAAUUUGAGAAGGAAGAAGUCCCUUUCAGCUGGGGAAGGAUCAGAGAAUCCUUCACAGAGGAAGUGGUUACUGAGCUGGGUCAUAGAGAGGAUUUCAGAAAGAAGAAAUGUGGAGGAAAUGAGUUGUAGGUAGAGAAAAGAGCCUUGGCAAAUGGAAGAGGAGAGUGAGGGGCAGCUGGUUGUCUAGAUUAUGUGGGGGUAGACUUCAUGACAGAAGGUAGUAAGAAAGAAGGCUAGAUAGGGAUGAAUGGGAUGCCCCAGUGAAGAUUCCUCAGUGUAAUUAAGGUUUGGGAUAAGGCUGAGUGGGAUAAGGGGUUCCAUGAAGAUUUCUCAGAAGAAUAAAUAGAAAUUGUAUUGUGACA
Long non-coding RNA from Phascolarctos cinereus (koala), 1997 nucleotides. NCBI's taxonomy places the organism in Eukaryota, Metazoa, Chordata, Mammalia, Diprotodontia, Phascolarctidae. The record is from Ensembl.